RNAcentral lists this ribosomal RNA (293 nucleotides) under uncultured bacterium. Its description in RNAcentral is "partial 16S ribosomal RNA". It matches the Rfam family "Bacterial small subunit ribosomal RNA", at positions 44 to 334 of the family's 1533-position model. The record is from RNAcentral.
GUGCCUAACACAUGCAAGUCGAACGAGAAAGUGGGAGCAAUCCCAUGAGUAAAGUGGCGACCGGGUGAGUAACACGUGACUAACCUACCUUCGAGUGGGGGAUAACCUCGGGAAACCGGGGCUAAUACCGCAUAACAUCCGCGGGGGAAGAUCCUGCGGAUCAAAGCAGCAAUGGGCUUGAAGAGGGGGUCGCGGCUGAUUAGCUAGUUGGUGAGGUAACGGCCCACCAAGGCGAUGAUCAGUAUCCGGCCUGAGAGGGCGCACGGACACACUGGAACUGAAACACGGUCCAG